Molecule: transfer RNA, 81 nt
Filed under: Bacillus cereus
Lineage: Bacteria; Bacillati; Bacillota; Bacilli; Caryophanales; Bacillaceae
Also listed under: 9 other names
Description: tRNA-Leu
Rfam family: tRNA
About the family: Transfer RNA (tRNA) molecules are approximately 80 nucleotides in length.
Source: RNAcentral
GCGGGUGUGGCGGAAUUGGCAGACGCACUAGACUUAGGAUCUAGCGCCUUUGGCGUGGGGGUUCGAAUCCCUUCACCCGCA